Zophobas morio is the source of this 2212-nucleotide long non-coding RNA. RefSeq lists it as uncharacterized. Lineage: Eukaryota; Metazoa; Arthropoda; Insecta; Coleoptera; Tenebrionidae. The transcript is spliced from 2 exons. The record is from RefSeq and is a predicted model, not a curated record.
UUUUGGAAAUGAAAUUCCAAGUGAUUAGAAAAUAAAACAGAAGCUCAAAAAUGUAUGGAAACGAUGCAUGACGUUCCAAGAUAUUAAUUCCUAAAAUUUAAAGCACACCCUUAAGCAAAUAUCCAGAUUGGCUCCAUAAGUAGAAAAAUAAUUUAAGAGAUUAACAAAAACUUGUACUGCUAAUUGUAGAAGUGCCUGUACACACAACCAUAAAAGUAAAUUUCUUACUCCAACUUAAACUGGUAUUUUAAAAUUGACAUGUACGCCUUUCUUGGAGAAAUAUAAAAAGAGAGGUUAAAAGCUGCUAAAAAAUAGUAAUGUUUCUUUUUUCGAAAUCGCGCAGUAAUGUGCUUUUUCUAUGUUCAAAAAUCGGCACAGAAAUUAAAUGCGGUGUUGUCAUAUUAGUAUUAUCUACCUCCACAAUUACAUUUUACAAGGUUAUAAAUUGUUUUUCGGUUUAGCAGUAAUUCUAUACUCUUUGAUAACCCUUUUUAUUAGUUAUUAGAAACACAUCCGGUUUAUUAAUUUUAUAAAUAUAAUUUAUUAACUAAAUUUGCGCGUAAUCUCGCAACGUCGCAACCUUGCAUGGCAACAGCGGAUUUCUUGAAGUGCAGCGACAUUCUAUGGCAGCGAACAAUGUGUAUCCACAUAACCUGUAAUAAGUUUUUGUUCGGUGCAGAAACAACCAUGGAAAACAUUAUAUGGAGAAUAUCUCAUUUUGCAUACGAGUAUUUCGCUGAAAAAGAAAAUUCUGUGAAAUCAACAUUUUGGGCUACAUAGUCGUUGUUAAAGUCAACUCUGUUAAUAUAAAACAGCAUAGAUAUAAUCUAAGUACACCAAGUUCUCAAGCAAAAAAUAUAGGUUAUGUUUCCCAGAAAUCAAAUAUAUUUACAAGAGAAAACUUACGAAAAUUUUUAACAGCGGCCCGUGAUUAAUGUACCUAAUGUCAAAGGUAUAUUUUUUAUUCGAAGUUGUAGGAGUAUGCGGAAAGGAAGAAUUUGAACAAUUUUCUUGUAUCUACAUAACCUAUAAUAAGCUUUUAUUAUUAUUACAGAACAGAUUAUUAGCUUACAUGCCCAUUUUAAAUGAAAGUAUGAAGCAUACCUCUUAUUUUUCGGCACUUUUAAUAUUUUUGCUUGCAGAAAGAUCUGCAGCAAUUGCAAAAUAGAGAUGGAUAGCAAUAAUAACAAGCAGUUUACAUGCAUUCGACCGAACUUGCAAAAACUGGCAGAUAAUAUAUCAAAUUUAUUACCUAAAAACUCAGCCACAGUUUAUGAAAAGCGGUAUGAUUUUUUUUUUUUUUUGCGCAGAAACAACCAUGCAAAAUAUAUGGAGAACACCUCAUUGCAUAGGAGUAUUUCGCUGAAAAAGCAAAUUCUGUGAAAUCUUUAACACUUUGGGCUGCAUAGUCGUAGUUAAAGUCAACUCUGUUAAUAAAAAACAGCAUAGAUAUAUCUAAGUACACCAAGUUUUCAAGCAAAAAAUAUAGGUUACAUUGCCAAGAAAUCAAAUAUAUUUACAAGAGAAGACUUACCAAAAUUUUUAACAGAAGCCCGUGAUUAAAUGUACACGAUGUUAAAGGUGAUCUCAAACAAGGUCAAUCACAUUGUCUAUAAAUCAUUAUGUUUUAGGUUUAUUUUUUAUUAGAAGUUGUAGGAGCAUGUGGAAUGGAUAAAUUGAAAAAUAAUGACGGCAUUCAAGACAAAAACGAUACGCUAAUAAUUAAAAUUCCAACGUCUAAAACUGGCAAAGCACGAGAAUUUACAAAUAUGUGUAAAAAUAUUUAUCCAAUUGAAAUAUAGUAAAAAUACCUAAUUUUAAGACCGCACCAUACACCAGACAAAUCAUUAUUUAUACAUUACAUUUGGAUAGUGAAUGCAGCAGCUGCUGCAUUGUACAAAUAUACCUGCAAACACACUGUAACAAAUUAUGCAGACACCUCUUUUGACUAAAAGAUAUAUAUUUAACUUUAUCCAUACGUUGUCAACUUUGUUAAUAAUUGCAAUCUCUAACUUCAUAAGAAAUAUGAAUAAUCUACUUUGGUGUUUUAUAGUAGUAUUAAAUGUUCAUAGAAUAUAAUUGCACUUACUACGAAGUAAGCUUUCCUAGUUUUAAGUUGUUUUCUUUUCUCUUUGAUUAUCUUAAUUUCUUCAGCCUCUAUGUGGCUGUUUUAAUUCCAAAAAAUUGUUUCUGAAUAAACUGAUUCAUACCA